GCUUGCAGCUAGCUCUCUGCAACUCUUGGUCACCCACUGAAGCUAAGCAGGGCAGUGUCUGUUCAGUACCUGAAUGGUAGACCACAUGGGAAAGCCAGGUUGCUGCCGGAA
Molecule: ribosomal RNA, 111 nt
Filed under: Danio rerio (zebrafish)
Lineage: Eukaryota; Metazoa; Chordata; Actinopteri; Cypriniformes; Danionidae
Source: RNAcentral